GUAGGUGAACCUGCGGAAGGAUCAUUACCUAGAGUUGUAGGCUUUGCCUGCUAUCUCUUACCCAUGUCUUUUAAGUACCUUCGUUUCCUCGGCGGGUUCGCCCGCCGAUUGGACAAUUUAAACCAUUUGCAGUUGCAAUCAGCGUCUGAAAAAACUUAAUAGUUACAACUUUCAACAACGGAUCUCUUGGUUCUG
Molecule: unclassified non-coding RNA, 195 nt
Filed under: rhizosphere metagenome
Description: partial ribosomal RNA internal transcribed spacer region
Source: RNAcentral